AGAAUCAACGCUGGCGGCGUGCCUAACACAUGCAAGUCGAACGAGAGAGUGGAGCAAUCCAUGAGUAAAGUGGCGACCGGGUGAGUAACACGUGACUAACCUACCUUCGAGUGGGGGAUAACCUCGGGAAACCGAGGCUAAUACCGCAUAACAUCGUGAGAUCAAAGCAGUAAUGCGCUGGAAGAGGGGGUCGCGGCUGAUUAGCUAGUUGGCGGGUAAUGGCCCACCAAGGCGAAGAUCGGUA
This 244-nucleotide ribosomal RNA is filed under the name uncultured bacterium. RNAcentral's name for it is "partial small subunit ribosomal RNA". It matches the Rfam family "Bacterial small subunit ribosomal RNA", at positions 26 to 285 of the family's 1533-position model. The record is from RNAcentral.